Long non-coding RNA from Oryzias sinensis (Chinese medaka), 4901 nucleotides. The record is from Ensembl. Lineage: Eukaryota; Metazoa; Chordata; Actinopteri; Beloniformes; Adrianichthyidae.
GACGAAAGGAUGAACCAAACACUGAACGACGGUAAAGAAAUGAUCAACUCUUCAGAUCGAUCCUUGCAUUUUUCGCAGCCGUGGUAACGUAUUACACAUGCAGACACAGAUGGGAGGGAGGGCUGGACAUUGUGUGGAAGCUUGAUAAGGAGGUCGUAAAAUAUAAAUAUCCCCUGGUCUUACCGAAAAGGAAGAGAGUUUGUCAUCUGCAUCUGCUCGGGUGAGUACCUGCUGCUCCUUCCAAUGGUUUUUCUUUAAAACAAUGUAUGUUUAGUAUUUAAUGACAACUUUUUUUGUUGUUUUAACACAGCAAAUAGCAACAUCAGCUACUAUUUUUUUAAUUCAUUUUCUGAAUCUUAAAACAACUUUAUAAACGUUAGUGAAAAUAAUUUCCAUGAAUUGACACGUUUAUCGUUUUAUCUGUCAAGUUCGAUAAACUUCUUUUUGUGCUUUUUUUUGAGAACUUUCCCACAUAUUUGUGCUUUUGCAUCAACAGCGGCAGUUUAAAACCGGAAAGGAUUCUGCACAGACGCAUCUUUUGCCCUGCGACAAUGCAAACUAAUCUUCUCCUGGUGACACUUUGUCUCCUCGGUUCAGGUAAGAACUGUUGAUUUUUCUUGACGUGUUAAACAGACAAACUUUUCCCAGAGAACUUUUAGAUCAGAUUUUUAACCCUUAAAAUGAUAGAAUUUAGUCAAAACUGUAUGAGAAGAAAUAUAUUUUUCAUUGUAGCAUUUAGUUUAGUGGAAUUUUCUGGUGUUUGUAGUAUUUUUCUAAAUCAAUUUGGUGUUAUUUGGGUGUGGCAUCUCUUUGGGAUGUGAGGUCAUAAUUGAUUGGGUCAUAAAUUGAAAUGUCUAAACUUUUCUGAAGUCAGAGCUUGUUGAACCAAAAAUGAUGUUAUUGUUUAGAAAAAAUGAGAAUAAAUUUACAAGGAAUCAAAAUACUAACUACAAAGUGCUAAUUUCCCGUCAAAUAAGAAGGGUUUAUUUGUCUUUCAACCUGGGUAACUUCUACUUUACAGUAAUCCUAUGUGGAGGACAGAGUACCACAGAGGAAAGCUCUACAAUAACCCCAACGAUAACCCCAACGAUAACCCCAACAGACAGCAAUAGUCCAAGUCAGUCAACUCCAACUGCUGACUCCAACCCAACCUUAAGCACUAAGCCCCUUCCAACCUCCACCUCCGAGUCCAUCACAGUUACAACAGAUGAAGGAGCUACACCUGAACCCUCAUCGGGGCUCUCAGCAGGAGCGAUAGCCGGCAUCGUCAUUGGUUCUAUUGCCGGGGUGGCUCUACUCGGUGGAGGCAUCUUUGGUUUGCUGAAAUACACCAAAAAGAUUUAAAAUAUCUACAAAUAAGGACUCUGUGUUUGGAAAUGCAGGAAACCUUCAUUUUUCUGAUGAAGUUAAGGGGACCAAAACAAUCGUCAUUUUGUCUGAAAGGCUCACAUGUCAUGGGCCCAGAGGAAGACAAAAAAUAAGGAAAUUUCACAAUAAUUGUCUGACUGAUAGUGAAUCACAAGAUUUCUGAUAGACAACUUCAUUUACAUUUUAUAUUUUCAUUGUUGGCAGAUGCUCUGCGUGUAAUUGCUUGGGUAUGACGUUUAUUUAAUGUGCCAGAAGAAAACCCUCUCAAUCACAAAGGGCGCCUCCACGUGCUGGAAUGAGAGGGCGGAGUAUGGGUGCUGCUGUAUGUGUUGCAAAACUAUUGACGUAAUUUGAGAACUGGGGUGAGUUAGUAUGACGUCAUCCAUAGAAAAUGACUUACUUCUGGCCCCAACCAAAUAUAGUUGCCGCCAUGUUGGAGCCAGACUUCAUCAGUCCGAGCUAACAUUACUAUGGCAACCACUCUCACCAAUCAAGAGUGAGAUUGUUGACAGUCCACACACCCCUACCACUUGAAAGGGGGCUAAACAAAAUCUGUCAAUCAAAAGAUUUUUAUGUUUGUUGUGGGUGCCAACAGGCUCCACAUACAUUUAUUCAGGCAUCUGAUUGGCCAGUUUAGAACUUGGAUAACUUGCACUAUAAAAAAAAAGAGGAUUAUCGAGAAGAUGUUAAGAAAAAGAGUAAUCUGACCAAUAGAAUUUUUAUAUCACCAUAGAAGUCUAUGGGAUUUUGGCUUCUUGGAGCCAGCGGGUACUUUCUGAAUGGAACGACAAGGGGGGGAGGGGUCACUCAGUCCAGUUCUCAUAGACAGUUAAUGAGUAAAACAUUAAAAGCUAGAUGUUGUCUUUACUUUCAUCAUAAAAUGACUGGGACUGCAAUUAUUCUAUUUAACUUCUUCUUUUUUCUUGAAACACCUAGGGAAGCUAUUUAAACAAAGUUCUUUACAAAUCACUUAAUAUAGUUAAUAAAGAUGAUAUGUUAUCCUGCUGUCGUAUUUUUAUGUCUUUACAACAUUUAUGGUUAAAAUUCAAUUGUAUUUUUUACGAUGAACUUCCUUUUACAUAAAGACUGUUUGCUUGCAGAUCAUUUUAACAACAUAAAGAAUAAUGUCCUAAAUGUGUUUCUAAUAUGUCAUAUUUUAAACCAUAACUAAGGAAAAUCCACAAUACUAAUUUAUUUACUCUCAGAGAAAACUUCACAUGUACAAGUCAUAUUUAUCUUGUUGUAAUUGGAGGUUUUUCUAUUGUUGACAAAGACUUCCUUUGUCUUUUUAAUCCUCUUAAUUUUAUGGUCACAGGGUGUUUCCUGAUUGCAGGUAGAUAAGAAACUAUGUGACGUUUUGAGGCUGGGUAGCUCGGUUGGUAAAGGGCUGCCACGCAGGAAUCCAGGGUUCAAUUCCCGGAGGGGAAUAAACAAUGGUACUGGGGGCAAUUACCAUAUCAAUGGCAAGCAAUAAACAUCACCCGGUGGGGGUCCUUGGGCAAGACCCUACGCUACUGCCUCCUGAGCACCACAGUUCAGCUGCAGCUCACCCAUUUCCCAUUGUGGGAUAAAUGAAGUAUGACUUAUUAUUAUUUUAUUAUUAUUUAUUGGAGAAAACUGGAAAUGUAUUCACGUUACCUUUAGAGAUGAUCCCUUUGAGAUUAUGACACAAAACAAACACCUCCGUUUUUAUCCCAAAGAAGAAAACUUAAAGUCAUCCAUGCCUUUCUGUCCCUACCCUAACCUUAACUCUAGCCUAUUGUGUAUUAUUACACAAGCCUGUUUUUAUAAAUCCUCCACAAUUCUGAACAGUUUCAAACCAAUUCUUAAAGGAAACUUCCUAACUGCAUUACCCACAAAGCCUCACUUUUAAAUACCAGUUGGGUGGAUGACCAUACAAAGCGCACACAGGGUUUGUCCCCUUCAACUCCACACUGAUAUAAAUGUUCAAAACAAUUUGACUAAUUGUUAGUAGCCGUGUUCAGAUGCCAGAGACAUUACAGAUCCUCAUCAAAAAUGUAAAAAUCUGUAUUAAAAUACAGAAAAGAAAAAGACAAAUUCAAUCCUUAUUAGUUACAUAACUGACCUCCGGUUAAUAAUUAACUUCAAUAGAGUAAUUUAUGGGAUGAGUAAAUGAUUAUUAGUAAUAAACAUCCUGAAAAUAUAUAAAUAAAUAAUAUAUAAAUAAAUAGAGACAUUUUGUCUAACGUGAGUGAAAUAAGGAAAACUGCCUGCAUAUCAUAAAACACCAGUCAAAACAUUUGAUUUUUACUGAUGCGCUCAGGCCAAAGUCCUGGCAUUGGUCCCAUUGGUUCAGCUUCACUGACCAAAGGCUCGUGGUGUCCAGGAUGCACUUUCAUGUGGACUUUAGCCCAUAUGGGGCUGUUGCAGUUUUAUGGCAUGGUCAUUUGUCAGGGAAGUGUCAACACAAGGAAGGCAUGGAAACUACCUCGAACACCUUGACCUGUGUGUUCAGGCCACAUGGCUUCCACAGGAGCAGGAUGAACACUGAGCAGGUGUUUGUGUUGGAGGAGAGGAAGGUGAUGUGUCUUUCUAUUGUUCUCCUGGAGAUCAAAUUUUAUUUUAAUUGGGAGGAUUAGUUUUUAUUUAAACUCUCGUCUUUGGUCAAUAAAAGAAAAUCUUGAUGAUCAGAUGAUCAUCAACAGAGAAAAUUGUACUUAUGCUUAGUGGUAAAAUUACGAGCACUGAAAGGUUUUCUAGUUUGAUACGUCCACACCUGGAGUGGGCUUCAGUGAUGGUGCUGUAUUAAGAAAUGUAGGUGAAGCUGCCCCCAUCACACCAAGCAACUAAAGCUUUAGUCACAACUGUCCUUAUACGAACUGUCUGCUGGUAAAAAAUGAGCAAACCUGUGUGAGGCACGCAGGACAUUUUAAGAUGGUAGACAACUCAGUGAGCCUGUAUAGGGAAAAUGCUCACGCACAUUUUUUUUCUACAAGCAUGCUGCUAGCGACAGGUGGUAGUGAACAUUUUUACAGCUCGUAAGGGUGAAGUGGGCGAGAGGCAGACGUGACGUACAGAUUUUUCCUUUUUCAACCCUCCUAAAAAUAAGCAGACUGUGCAAGGAGCCCAUUAAUGCUGUUCACUUGAUACAUCCUUUGGUGCAGCUUGACUGUUAGAAAUUAGGAAAUUAGACAAUAAGAGAGUAGUUUGUGUGGACGUCCUAUAGGACGCCCGUGAAUGUGUGCACCAUUCAGAGGCAGUCAGCAAGGGGCCAGUACUCGUGCUUUACUAACGAUUAAAAUGGGUGAAUCAGCGUACACUUGACCUGUUCUGAUAGCCUUAUCACUUUUCUUAGAAAACGAACAAACAGAAAUGUAAGAAGGAUUUAAUGCCAGCAAAAUAGCAGUUUUGGAUAAAACUGAUGUAAUGACCCAUUUUCUGCUUAUAGAAUAAAUUCUUCAUUUCACACUUGAGUUAAUUUUUGCUCUCUCUAAAGGUCUAAGAAAUGUAAGUCUGUAGAUGUCUGAACUGUUAAACAUUUGAUUUUUUAUAAACUGCUGCUUAGUGUGAAA